Molecule: ribosomal RNA, 305 nt
Filed under: uncultured bacterium
Lineage: Bacteria
Description: bacterial SSU rRNA
Rfam family: Bacterial small subunit ribosomal RNA
Source: RNAcentral
CGUCCUACGGGGGGCAGCAGUGAGGAAUAUUGGUCAAUGGGCGGAAGCCUGAACCAGCCAAGUCGCGUGAGGGAAUAAGGCCCUACGGGUCGUAAACCUCUUUUGCCGGGGAGCAAGGGCCGGGACGCGUCCCGGCCCGGAGAGUACCCGGAGAAAAAGCAUCGGCUAACUCCGUGCCAGCAGCCGCGGUAAUACGGAGGAUGCGAGCGUUAUCCGGAUUUAUUGGGUUUAAAGGGUGCGCAGGCGGAGGCACAAGUCAGCGGUAAAAUCGCGGGGCUCAACCCCGCUCCGCCGUUGAAACUGAG